RNAcentral lists this ribosomal RNA (501 nucleotides) under uncultured bacterium. Its description in RNAcentral is "partial 16S ribosomal RNA". It matches the Rfam family "Bacterial small subunit ribosomal RNA", at positions 30 to 523 of the family's 1533-position model. The record is from RNAcentral.
AUUGAACGCUGGCGGCAGGCUUAACACAUGCAAGUCGAGCGGAGCGAGGGUGCUUGCACCUUAGCUUAGCGGCGGACGGGUGAGUAAUGCUUAGGAAUCUGCCUAUUAGUGGGGGACAACAUUCCGAAAGGGAUGCUAAUACCGCAUACGCACUACGGGGGAAAGCAGGGGAUCUUCGGACCUUGCGCUGAUAAAUGAGCCUAAGUCGGAUUAGCUAGUUGGUGGGGUAAAGGCCUACCAAGGCGACGAUCUGUAGCGGGUCUGAGAGGAUGGUCCGCCACACUGGGACUGAGACACGGCCCAGACUCCUACGGGAGGCAGCAGUGGGGAAUAUUGGACAAUGGGCGGAAGCCUGAUCCAGCCAUGCCGCGUGUGUGAAGAAGGCCUUUUGGUUGUAAAGCACUUUAAGCGAGGAGGAGGCUACUAGUAUUAAUACUACUGGAUAGUGGACGUUACUCGCAGAAUAAGCACCGGCUAACUCUGUGCCAGCCGCCGCAGUAA